This 750-nucleotide ribosomal RNA is filed under the name uncultured bacterium. RNAcentral's name for it is "bacterial SSU rRNA". It matches the Rfam family "Bacterial small subunit ribosomal RNA", at positions 239 to 979 of the family's 1533-position model. The record is from RNAcentral.
UAUCAGCUUGUUGGUGAGGUAACGGCUCACCAAGGCUUCGACGGGUAGCUGGUCUGAGAGGACGAUCAGCCACACUGGCACUGCGACACGGGCCAGACUCCUACGGGAGGCAGCAGUAAGGAAUAUUGCGCAAUGGGCGAAAGCCUGACGCAGCGACGCCGCGUGGGCGAUGAAGGCCUUCGGGUCGUAAAGCCCUGUCGAGUGGGACGAAACGUACGAGCUCUAACAUAGCUCGUGCCUGACGGUACCACUGGAGGAAGCCCCGGCUAACUCCGUGCCAGCAGCCGCGGUAAUACGGAGGGGGCUAGCGUUAUUCGGAAUUAUUGGGCGUAAAGGGCGUGUAGGCGGCCUAGUGUGUCCCAUGUGAAAGCCCUCGGCUCAACCGGGGAACUGCAUGGGAAACUGCUUGGCUUGAGUCCGGGAGAGGAGAGCGGAAUUCCCAGUGUAGCGGUGAAAUGCGUAGAUAUUGGGAGGAACACCGGUGGCGAAGGCGGCUCUCUGGACCGGUACUGACGCUGAGACGCGAAAGCUAGGGGAGCAAACGGGAUUAGAUACCCCGGUAGUCCUAGCCGUAAAACGAUGAGCACUUGGUGUGGCGGGUAUCGACCCCUGCCGUGCCGAAGCUAACGCAUUAAGUACUCCGCCUGGGGAGUACGGCCGCAAGGCUGAAACUCAAAGAAUUGACGGGGGCCCGCACAAGCGGUGGAGCAUGUGGUUCAAUUCGACGCAACGCGAAGAACCUUACCUGGG